UACGUAGGGUGCAAGCGUUGUCCGGAAUUAUUGGGCGUAAAGAGCUCGUAGGCGGUCUGUCGCGUCGGCUGUGAAAACCUGGGGCUUAACUCCGGGCCUGCAGCCGAUACGGGCAGACUAGAGUUCGGCAGGGGAGACUGGAAUUCCUGGUGGAGCGGUGAAAUGCGCAGAUAUCAGGAGGAACACCGGUGGCGAAGGCGGGUCUCUGGGCCGAAACUGACGCUGAGGAGCGAAAGCGUGGGGAGCAAACAGG
This 253-nucleotide ribosomal RNA is filed under the name uncultured bacterium. RNAcentral describes it as "partial 16S ribosomal RNA". It matches the Rfam family "Bacterial small subunit ribosomal RNA", at positions 524 to 776 of the family's 1533-position model. The record is from RNAcentral.